GUGAUUCCUGGUGGGCACAGACACUCUGAAGACCUCUGCAGAAAUGCCACCUUUGCAGCUUGGCUUCCUCCUUGUGCUCAGUUGGCUGGGAGCUGGUGCAGCUCCUGCUGGGACAUACCUGUGCUCCAGCCCCGCUCUCAAUGAAACUGCUGUGUGUGCUUCAGUGAGAAGCCUCCCAGACAGAUUUAUUUGCUACCUGAGCCCCUCUACAGUGAGUAACCUGAGCAGGGAUGAUACUUUGAGCUUGGACCAGAGGAUCAGUAAGAGCUGCACCUUGAACACAACGCUUGGAAGAAUAAAAGGAAAAGGAGCUGCCUCCUCCCUGACAACAGAGGAACUGCAGGUUGUAUCUUCUUUGGUGAGGAAUGUUGACCAUUUCACUCCUCCAAUGCUGAGAGUGUUGGGCCGGAUUGCUGUCGGGCUGUCUGUAUCUGACAUUGAAAAUAAGAUCAGUGGAGAAGACCUUCGAGCAUCCAUUCCUACCCUGGGUAAAGUUCGUGGCUGGAAUGCUGACCAGUCCAGUGCUAUUAUCAACAAACUGCUCAGCUCCGGCUAUCAGAUUUCUUCUGGACAGAGCCUGGCAAAGCUAGGGAGCUUGGUGUCUGGCCUCAGGAGCAGCACGCUUCGAAGCCUGCCUCCAGAAGAGAUCUUGGAAGCCAUUAAGUUGCCUGAGUUUGUUCAGCAAAUAGAGGCCCUGCCCUCUCCUCUAAAAAGGAUACUUGUGGAAAAGAUUUCCUCCAGUGUAGGCAAUCCAGCUGACCUGGUUAAACUUACCCCUGCUGCUCUGGCCACUUACAUUCCAAAAUCAUUGCUUAUUUUUGAGGACGAGAAGCUCAACAUUGAGGAUCUCAACAGUAAAAUGUGGACCCGAGAACAGGUAAUAUUUGUAGGCUUUCAGCCCUCACUGUCACUCUUGGACACUGCAGAGCUAUGAGUCCACUCUGAAAAUCUACCUGCAAAUAGAUGUGAGUGUUGUGGAAGAGCACAGUAAACUCCUGAC
This 1000-nucleotide long non-coding RNA is filed under the name Coturnix japonica (Japanese quail). RNAcentral describes it as "lncRNA (ENSCJPG00005005571.1)". The record is from RNAcentral. Lineage: Eukaryota; Metazoa; Chordata; Aves; Galliformes; Phasianidae.